AUGCUGAAGGUCCCAUCAGAAUACAGAACGUCUCGACAGGCGCAGACAGUUGGUGACAGAGGCCUGGUUUCCUCAGUCAACUGCAGCCUUUGGCUUGUUACUCAAAAUGGUCCUUCUCUUUUCCCCCUCAUCUUACAAUCUGAGAAUCUCCCUAGCCAUGGGCCCAUCACCGUCGGGUGCUUAGCCAAGGAUGUCCCACCUGCCUUGGUCAGGUUCACCUGGGAGGACCGUAGCAAUGUCAGUGUCAACGCAACUUACAUUAAGCAAUAUCCUACUGUCGGCAACUCUGCUGGGACUUUCACUGCAAGCUCCCAGCUGGCCAUCUCUGCCGAAGAUUGGGAGAAUUUUGAACCGUUCUAUUGCAAGGCUGAGAGCGUCGAUGGGGUAGCACGGGUUGUUCGCCAGGCCUCACAAACAACAGAGCCUAGGAUGAUCAUCCGCGUACCACGAUGCCAAGAUUUUGAGAAUCCCAACAUAAAGGCCACCGUUGUCUGCCUGGCUGACCACUUGCCAACUGGAAGCACAACCCUCCAGUGGUUAAAGGAUGGAAACAUACUUGACUCUGGCUUCACCACCACUGGACCAGUUGCCAACGGAUGUAACGGCUAUAGCAUCAUCAGCGAGCUCCCAGUCAGUAAGCAAGACUGGAACAGUGGCAAAGAAUUCUCCUGCAGCGUGCGUAACAAUAUGUUCAGCGACACUAAGAACAUCAGCAAACCCACGGUUUGCAACUCAGGCUGUGCUGAAGUCCCUAUAGAGGUCCGUGUGGAGACCAUCCCACCACCCUUCAUCGAUAUUUAUCUGUCCAAGUCGGUCAAUCUGACCUGCAGAAUCUCUAAUGCUCCCGAUGAGGAGGACCUGAAAGCACUGACUGUCACCUGGACAAGGGUGUCUGACAAGAAGAAUCUGGAAACCAUCAUUGGACAGAUUAAGAAGGAAGAAAACAGGGAGAUGUUCUUUGUGGACGCAACAGCCACCAUUUGCAAAGAGGAAUGGGAACGCGGGGAUACAUUUGAGUGCAAAGUUACUGGUUCCCAUCUUCCCACACCUGAAAUAAAAACUCUGAAAAAGCUUCAUGGUGGCACCCCCCAUGCUCCCACUGUCUACGUUUUCCCCCCGCCCUCCGAACAGCUGGCUUUGAAGGAAACGGCUACUGUCACUUGCCUGAUGAAAGGUUUCUACCCCAAUGACUUCUUUGUGAAAUGGCUGCGGAACGAUGAGCCGGUGGCCGAUUCAGAGUACUUCACCAGCAAGCCCAUCCAGGAAUCCGGGACCCCCGAGCGGUACUUCACCUACAGCACGUUGAACGUCAGAGAGCAGGACUGGAGUUACGGAGCCAUUUACACUUGCGUGGUGGGACACGAGGCGCUUCCCUUCCAGACAACUCAGAAGACCCUAGACAAGAACAUGGCAACUGAUAGCUAUUUAUUGUCUAAAGUUUACCUUGACGGGUUAGUGAUUGCUGAAGAUGACGAAGGACUCCUAAACAUCUCGUCAAUCCUUUCCACCUUCAUCAUCCUCUUCCUCGUGAGCCUUUUCUACAGCGCCACGGUGACUGUCAUUAAGGUAAAAUAA
Molecule: non-coding RNA, 1575 nt
Organism: Euleptes europaea (tarantolino)
Lineage: Eukaryota; Metazoa; Chordata; Lepidosauria; Squamata; Sphaerodactylidae
Source: the annotation of a RefSeq genome assembly